RNAcentral lists this ribosomal RNA (121 nucleotides) under Dasypus novemcinctus (nine-banded armadillo). The record is from RNAcentral. Lineage: Eukaryota; Metazoa; Chordata; Mammalia; Cingulata; Dasypodidae.
AUCUAUGGCUAUAUCAUCUUGAACAUGUCUGAUAUAGACUGAUAUCUAAUUUCUAAAGCUAAUCUGGGUGGGGUCUGGUUAGUACUUGGAGACUGCUUGGGAAUACUAGGUGUUGUAGGCU